UGGGGAAUCUUGGACAAUGGGGGCAACCCUGAUCCAGCCAUGCCGCGUGAGUGAUGAAGGCCUUAGGGUCGUAAAGCUCUUUCGCCUGUGAAGAUAAUGACGGUAGCAGGUAAAGAAACCCCGGCUAACUCCGUGCCAGCAGCCGCGGUAAUACGGAGGGGGUUAGCGUUGUUCGGAAUUACUGGGCGUAAAGGGCGCGUAGGCGGCCCGAUAAGUCCCAAGGUGAAAGCCCUCGGCUCAACCGAGGAACUGCCUUGGAUACUGUCGGGCUCGAGGCUGGAAGAGGGUGAUGGAAUUGCCCGGUGUAGCGGUGAAAUGCGUAGAUAUCGGGAGGAACACCGGUGGCGAAGGCGGUCACCUGGGCCAGUACUGACGCUGAGGCGCG
Molecule: ribosomal RNA, 385 nt
Filed under: uncultured bacterium
Lineage: Bacteria
Description: bacterial SSU rRNA
Rfam family: Bacterial small subunit ribosomal RNA
Source: RNAcentral